ACUCAAAUGAAUAGACGGGGACCCGCACAAGUAGAGGAGCAUGUGGUUUAAUUCGAUGGUAAACGAGAAACCUCACCUAGGUUUGAAAUGUAGCUGCAAGCCGGAAGAAACUCUGGCCGCCUUCGAGGGUGCUACACAGGUGCUGCAUGGUUGUCGUCAGCUCGUGUCGUGAGAUGUACCGUUAAGUCGGGUAACGAGCGCAACCCCUAUCCCGUGUUACUUUUUCACGGGAGACUGCCUCGGAUAACGGGGAGGAAGGUAGGGAUGACGCCAAAUCAGCAUGGCUCUUACACCUAGGGCUACACACGUGCUACAAUGGCAUAUACAAUGGGCCGCCAAAUCGUAAGAUGGAGCUAAUCCCACCAAAGUAUGCCUCAGUUCGGAUCGAGGGCUGCAACUCGCCCUCGUGAAGCUGGAUUUACUAGUAAACGCGUAUCAGCUAUGGCGCGUUGAAUACGUUCUCGGGUCUUGUACACACCGCCCGU
Molecule: ribosomal RNA, 485 nt
Filed under: uncultured bacterium
Lineage: Bacteria
Description: partial 16S ribosomal RNA
Rfam family: Bacterial small subunit ribosomal RNA
Source: RNAcentral